Molecule: ribosomal RNA, 620 nt
Filed under: Bacillus cereus
Lineage: Bacteria; Bacillati; Bacillota; Bacilli; Caryophanales; Bacillaceae
Description: bacterial SSU rRNA
Rfam family: Bacterial small subunit ribosomal RNA
Source: RNAcentral
GCUUGCUCUUAUGAAGUUAGCGGCGGACGGGUGAGUAACACGUGGGUAACCUGCCCAUAAGACUGGGAUAACUCCGGGAAACCGGGGCUAAUACCGGAUAACAUUUUGAACCGCAUGGUUCGAAAUUGAAAGGCGGCUUCGGCUGUCACUUAUGGAUGGACCCGCGUCGCAUUAGCUAGUUGGUGAGGUAACGGCUCACCAAGGCAACGAUGCGUAGCCGACCUGAGAGGGUGAUCGGCCACACUGGGACUGAGACACGGCCCAGACUCCUACGGGAGGCAGCAGUAGGGAAUCUUCCGCAAUGGACGAAAGUCUGACGGAGCAACGCCGCGUGAGUGAUGAAGGCUUUCGGGUCGUAAAACUCUGUUGUUAGGGAAGAACAAGUGCUAGUUGAAUAAGCUGGCACCUUGACGGUACCUAACCAGAAAGCCACGGCUAACUACGUGCCAGCAGCCGCGGUAAUACGUAGGUGGCAAGCGUUAUCCGGAAUUAUUGGGCGUAAAGCGCGCGCAGGUGGUUUCUUAAGUCUGAUGUGAAAGCCCACGGCUCAACCGUGGAGGGUCAUUGGAAACUGGGAGACUUGAGUGCAGAAGAGGAAAGUGGAAUUCCAUGUGUAGCGG